AACAUCGCGCACCUGCGGGAACCUGCGGAAGGAUCAUUACGAGAGUGUCACCACUCCCAACCCAUUGUUUACCUACCCGUCCACCGUGCUUCGGCAGGCAGCCCUGUGGGACAGAGCCUCGCCCCCCUCCGCGGGGGGUGCCUGCCGCUGGCCAACCAACAACUCUAGCUGUUUUAGUACCAUCUGAGUCUUCCACAAAUGAACAAAACUUUCAACAACGGAUCUCAGAUCGGAAGAGCA
This 240-nucleotide unclassified non-coding RNA is filed under the name soil metagenome. Its description in RNAcentral is "partial contains 5.8S ribosomal RNA, internal transcribed spacer 2, and large subunit ribosomal RNA". The record is from RNAcentral.